UACGUAGGGUCCGAGCGUUGUCCGGAAUUAUUGGGCGUAAAGGGCUCGUAGGCGGUCUGUCGCGUCGGGAGUGAAAACUCAGGGCUCAACCCUGAGCGUGCUUCCGAUACGGGCAGACUAGAGGUAUGCAGGGGAGAGCGGAAUUCCUGGUGUAGCGGUGGAAUGCGCAGAUAUCAGGAGGAACACCGGUGGCGAAGGCGGUUCUCUGGGCAUGACCUGACGCUGAGGAGCGAAAGCAUGGGGAGCGAACAGG
This 253-nucleotide ribosomal RNA is filed under the name uncultured bacterium. RNAcentral describes it as "partial 16S ribosomal RNA". It matches the Rfam family "Bacterial small subunit ribosomal RNA", at positions 524 to 776 of the family's 1533-position model. The record is from RNAcentral.